Molecule: ribosomal RNA, 440 nt
Filed under: uncultured bacterium
Lineage: Bacteria
Description: partial 16S ribosomal RNA
Rfam family: Bacterial small subunit ribosomal RNA
Source: RNAcentral
CCUACGGGCGGCAGCAGUGGGGAAUAUUGCACAAUGGUGGGAACCCUGAUGCAGCAACGCCGCGUGAGUGAAGAAGUAUUUCGGUAUGUUAAGCUCUAUCAGCAGGGAAGAAGAUGACGGUACCUGAAUACGAAGCCCCGGCAAACUACGUGCCAGGCGCCGCGGUAAUACGUAGGGAGCCAGCGUUAUCCGGAUUUACUGGGUGUAAAGGGAGCGCAGGCGGCAGUGCAAGUCUGGAGUGAAAGCCCUGGGCCCAACCCCGGAACUGCUCUGGAAACUGUGCGGCUAGAGUACUGGAGGGGUAGGCGGAAUGCGUGGUGUAGCGGUGAAAUGCGUAGAUAUGAGGAGGAACACCAGUGGCGAAGGCGGCCUGCUGGACAGUAACUGACGUUGAGGCUCGAAAGCGUGGGGAGCAAACAGGAUUAGAUACCCCAGUAGUC